Molecule: ribosomal RNA, 253 nt
Filed under: uncultured microorganism
Description: partial 16S ribosomal RNA
Rfam family: Bacterial small subunit ribosomal RNA
Source: RNAcentral
UACAGAGGGUGCAAGCGUUAAUCGGAAUUACUGGGCGUAAAGCGCGCGUAGGUGGUUUGUUAAGUUGAAUGUGAAAUCCCCGGGCUCAACCUGGGAACUGCAUCCAAAACUGGCAAGCUAGAGUAUGGUAGAGGGUGGUGGAAUUUCCUGUGUAGCGGUGAAAUGCGUAGAUAUAGGAAGGAACACCAGUGGCGAAGGCGGCUACCUGGACCAACACUGACACUGAGGUGCGAAAGCGUGGGGAGCAAACAGG